Molecule: ribosomal RNA, 48 nt
Filed under: Diaporthe amygdali
Lineage: Eukaryota; Fungi; Ascomycota; Sordariomycetes; Diaporthales; Diaporthaceae
Description: partial 18S ribosomal RNA
Source: RNAcentral
GAAGGUGAAGUCGUAACAAGGUCUCCGUUGGUGAACCAGCGGAGGGAU